Molecule: microRNA, 21 nt
Filed under: Ananas comosus (pineapple)
Lineage: Eukaryota; Viridiplantae; Streptophyta; Magnoliopsida; Poales; Bromeliaceae
Description: microRNA s1291_c032b
Source: RNAcentral
GCCCGCGCGGAAUUGAGCUUC